This 577-nucleotide long non-coding RNA is filed under the name Panax ginseng (ginseng). RNAcentral describes it as "long non-coding RNA (PGIN_LNC012067)". The record is from RNAcentral. Lineage: Eukaryota; Viridiplantae; Streptophyta; Magnoliopsida; Apiales; Araliaceae.
UUUUAAUGUUAGCCACCGGCAAAUUCACUAGUAUGCUGAAAAGUCAAUAAAACUAUGCCAAAGAAGCUAAAUUAUGAUUAUUCAAUUUUUAGUUUUUUGACCCUGAAGAUAAGUUAAAAGAAGCAACAAAGGAGGCUGCAACCCUUGUAUGCAUAUUCCAUAAAAGCAGAGUAAUGCCACCCCAACCUACAAAAACACUCAGCAAGGAGACCUAAAAGAAUAUUCACAUCUCGCCCCAAAAGCCAAAAGUAGGCCUCAAAAAGCACAAAACCUAUCAUCUAACACUGGUCUAACUUCAUCCACAAAGUCAUCAAAAUUAUCAACAAAUUCCUAUAUAAGUCAACUGUCCUAAAUAUAACGUGUACAGGAAUGAAGUCCUCAACUUAGCAACUGCUGUUCGACGCCCUUGAAAUCUCUCAUAUUCCUUUCACUCCCAAAGCACCACAUUAAGCACGGGUAUAUUCAAUUAGUUCCACUCUAGGAGUAAGAUAUUUAAUAUCACGUACACGGCCUCCAAAUACUAAUUUCAUUUUUUUUAAAAGACUAGUAUUAAGAACUUGCAAACCUUAUGCUUCAC